Molecule: long non-coding RNA, 1125 nt
Organism: Pseudomyrmex gracilis
Lineage: Eukaryota; Metazoa; Arthropoda; Insecta; Hymenoptera; Formicidae
Exons: 3
Source: RefSeq, a predicted model, not a curated record
CUCGAAGUUGGCUGAAGCGCCGAGCGUACACGGCUGUUCGCCUGUGUGUGUAUCCUCUCCACUUGCUGCUGCAAGCGUCUCAAAACUGGCAUCUCUGAUCAGAGGCAACAAGCUUACACAAAAUCGCUGAGCAAGCAGUCAAACUGCCAGCUUCAAAGUGGAAACAUUCAGCAUAUGUUUUAAUCAGAUGUGGUUAUUUUGUACUAAAAUUUUCUGAAAUUUUUCGAUUCUUUUUGUGACUGUGACUUGCCUUACAGUAGUUUGCCUUACAAGGGAACCUCACGAACUCGAAAAUUCUGAUUUUGAUGAAACUUUGCACACAUGUAAAAGGGAUCAAUAGAUAAAUAUUGACAAUUUCCGUUGCUGCUAAAAAACGGAGUGAAAUCACCUCUCAUAGGUAGAGCGACUUCUUACUUUUCUCAAUUAAUCUCGAAAAUUAUUGGAGAUAUUGAAAAAUGUUUAGACAAAAAAAUUUCAUUAAAAAAAUCCUCUAUUUAAAAAAGUAAUAACAGAAACCGCUCGUUUUGUGAUAACAACCAAUAUAAAUAGUAAAAGGUCUUAAUCGAGCAAGAAAAACACAAGGUUUAUAUAAUAAUAUGUAUUUUCAUUUAAUGAUAUAAUAAUAUGUAUUUUUAUUUAAUGACACAUAGAAUGGUGCUAAACGUUUCUUGCUCUAACUUGAGCUCUCAUCAGUAGCGUUAUAAAUUGAUUAAAAAGAAACUUUCUUAUUGAUUAAAAAGAAUAAUCGCAAUAGUAAGACGCAGUAUGAACACGCAUGUGUGGUGAUGGAAUAUUUUUCUUCAAUCUACGUCGGUUUUAAUAUUAUUUUGGAAUGAUCCUACCUUCAAACAUCGUCUUCUGUUUGUGAUCUGUUUUCUCUAAUUAGUCAUUGUAAGGCAGUAUCAGUGGUUGAAAUAAAAGAUAAAACUGACAAAUCACUAUGAAUUAAAAAUUAAAAAAAAAUAAAGAAAUAUAAAGUAAGUAAUAAAGAUACAGUGUACGCAGUGAGUUAUAGUCGAAACGCUUACUCGGAAAACAGUUUUAGAAUUUACAGUCAAAUGUUGUGAACAGUACGAAAGGCAGUAUAUUUAUAGGUGAUUUCCCUCUAUAAAGAUUGCCAGUAGA